CAGUCGCCACGGGAAUACGGAGGGUGCAAGCGUUAAUCGGAAUUACUGGGCGUAAAGCGCACGCAGGCGGUCUGACAAGUCAGAUGUGAAAUCCCCGGGCUUAACCUGGGAACUGCAUUCGAUACUGGGAAGCUAGAGUAUGGGAGAGGAUGGUAGAAUUCCAGGUGUAGCGGUGAAAUGCGUAGAGAUCUGGAGGAAUACCGAUGGCGAAGGCAGCCAUCUGGCCUAAUACUGACGCUGAGGUACGAAAGCAUGGGGAGCAAACAGGAUUAGAUACCCGUGUAGUCCCUGUCUCUUAUAC
This 301-nucleotide ribosomal RNA is filed under the name uncultured bacterium. RNAcentral's name for it is "partial 16S ribosomal RNA". It matches the Rfam family "Bacterial small subunit ribosomal RNA", at positions 509 to 807 of the family's 1533-position model. The record is from RNAcentral.